This 206-nucleotide ribosomal RNA is filed under the name uncultured Eubacteriales bacterium. RNAcentral describes it as "uncultured Clostridiales bacterium partial 16S ribosomal RNA". It matches the Rfam family "Bacterial small subunit ribosomal RNA", at positions 568 to 774 of the family's 1533-position model. Lineage: Bacteria; Bacillati; Bacillota; Clostridia; Eubacteriales. The record is from RNAcentral.
UGAGUAGGCGGUUGCAUAUGUCAGAUGUAAAAGGCACAGGCUUAACUUGUGUUAGCAUUUGAAACUGUGCGACUUGAGUGCAGGAGAGGUAGGUGGAAUUCCUAGUGUAGCGGUGAAAUGCGUAGAUAUUAGGAGGAACACCAGUGGCGAAGGCGACUUACUGGACUGUAACUGACGCUGAGUCACGAAAGCGUGGGUAGCAAACA